UGGGCAAGAGGGCUACCCCACCGAGGACGUCCCCACGGCCUUCGACAACUUCUCCGCCCUGUGGACAAGCACCGAGCUUUUGGUAACAGAUUUGGUGUCCCUGAUUUGAGUCGUAGCUUCCUGUAGAAUGGCACCCUGAGACUGCUGGAAGAAGCAGGGAGCAGCUCCAGGUCACACCAUGAAUGGGAGCAUCGCCUUUUCAGCCCCAACCAACCUGAACUGAUUUGAGGAGAAAGCAACAGAUUUGGGAAGCAUCAGGAUAGCCACAGCCAUUUGAUGGAGAGACAACUCCUUAGUGAGGAUUUCCCCGAGCUAUUGCCUCUUCUGUUGAUCUGUGUUUGUAUUUGUCAUCCUAAACCUUGUUCAGUGCUGUGUAUGAUUUCUGAAUUUACAGACAUCAGAUCAUCUACAGAGUGCAAGGAAUAGCUCUGCACUCAGAGGUCCCAUGGUGUCUCUUUCUAGCCCAGCCCUGUAUCAGACGUUGUGUACAAGCUUUCAGUAACAAAAUCACUUCAGAACCAUCAGAACCGCGAAGAGGUAGUAAAAUGUGAAAAACUGUUACUAAGCAAUGGACAAUAGCACCUUACAGAAAGCCUGAGGGAAAAGUGCUUUAGGAUAAAAGAGCUCCUGAAGAGAUACUCAGAGAUGGAUAAUAAUUGUGAAUGCUUAACUGGAUUGUCUGUUGACUUGGAGACAGAAAUUGAAACCCAAAAAGAGCUUUCAAUUGGAGUAAAAGCAAACCUGUCACUUCCAGAUUCGCAAACCAAACAGAUUCAAAAACUUCUUACCGCAAACCAGAGAUGUUCCAUGGAAUUCCACUGAAUCAUGAAGAAACUUAAGGCCAUAAUGAAUGAAUCAACAGAAUUUGAGGAAGGAAGUGCUAUCAUAUCUAAAGAAUGGGAGCACGACCUGAAAUCAUCGAAAGAGCAAAAUGAAAAACUAAAAAUUACCAAACUUUGAAGGUCACCCAGGCAUCUAGUGCCCAUGUUAAUCCCAACACACAAGAUGAUAAGAAUCUUCAUGUUCUAUGAGAUAUUUUGAAUCUGCUCCUUCAUCAUGAAAUUCACAGCAAAAUUAUAGUAUUGAAUGUAUUUAUUAAGGAAUGAGAACAACAUUUCCGUAAAAUUCAGGAGC
This is a long non-coding RNA of Lemur catta (Ring-tailed lemur), 1134 nucleotides long. RefSeq lists it as uncharacterized. The transcript has 9 exons. NCBI's taxonomy places the organism in Eukaryota, Metazoa, Chordata, Mammalia, Primates, Lemuridae. The record is from RefSeq and is a predicted model, not a curated record.